Non-coding RNA from Macaca mulatta (Rhesus monkey), 1812 nucleotides. The record is from RefSeq and is a predicted model, not a curated record. NCBI's taxonomy places the organism in Eukaryota, Metazoa, Chordata, Mammalia, Primates, Cercopithecidae.
CACCCGCUUUCCCCACCGGAGUCCAAUCCAUUCCCCUCACCUUCCGGAGGGGCCUCGCACCGGACUGCCGCGGGUGCCGUAGGCUGCGAGAAAGAUGAGACGGCCAAAGACGAGAAGGCCAAAGAUUGCCAGCGACUAGUACAAAACAAGGAAAGAGUUUGAAAUAGGUGCUGAACGUGUGGAGCUAUCCAUGGUUCUGAAUCCGAAUCAGCCGUUGGCAACUGUUCUCUGCCUACAACCAGCCGCAGACAAUAGAACUACAAACUCAGGCAAGUGGCCCUAAUGUAUCCACAUGCACCACUCUCUUCACCAAAUGCCCAAAGAAAUAGAGUGUUCUAAAACACAUUUCUUCUCUACUUAGCGUCUUAACUAAACCCAAGUUCACCUUCCUCCCAAAAUGCAUCAAGGACUCCAGAAAAAAAUGAAGAAACUGCAUAUUGCGUAGAUUGUAAUUAAAGUUUCACCUAUAAAGUUGUAUUUUAAUUAAGAUUUCACGGCACAAUAAUAUAACAAUAAGUUAUAUAAAGGUAAUAUAGCUAAACUUUUUAAAAAUUACACAUAAAUUUAGUGAAUGAAUACUGUUUUAAAAUAAUAGGUAUUUCCAAAUACAGCUGGAAACACAAAGUUUAUCUGUCACAUGACAAGAUAUAUUGACAUGCAGAAGGUAACUGUGCAUAAUGUCUCUAAUUAUAAGUCUGAAACUAACUUUCAUAGGAUAUUGAUUCUGGAAACCCUUGAAUUCCACUUUCCUUCUUCAAGAGAAAAAGUGGCUUUCUGCUCCCUGAAGUAUUCUCUCUUUCUCUGCAACUUUUAGAGUGGUCUCUGUUUGUUUGGGUUGGUUAACUAAAUACGUGAUGGCUAAAAUCCCAUUGUCUUUGUUACAUAUGUGUGAGCUCUGUGGGCUUUACACUUUUCCUAAUCUCAUUUAACUCCAAAAUUAGUUCUAUUAAGGAUUCAGUGUAAAAUCACAGAACAUUUUAUAACCUAUGUAUUGUAAUUGAUUGAGCAGAAGAUUAAAGGCAUCCUGUUUCUAAAUUACCCCAGUAAUCGUGUUCAUACAUUAUGCAUUGGAACAGUGGAGAAAGUACAUUAAUCUAUAUUCAGCCAAUAGAAUAAAAGCAGUGGAUGGUAAUCAUGGCUGCUUGUUGGCUGGAAAAUUAUCCUCCCCCACUCCACUCUCUAUAAAAGCUAACUUUAUAUUUUGUGUGGAGACCCACUUUCACAAGUUUUUAGUAUUUUUGGACCUUUUGGAAGUACAAAUAUUGAACCAAGCACACAAUUCAACUGUUGAAAUCCUAUCAUGUAUACAGCUUAACACUCAAUACAAUCUACUUAUAGGCAAGGUUGCAGGAUAGAUUGUAUGUUCUUAAAAUUACCUAAUUAUCAAUAUUACUUUAAAAUUAAGUCAUUUAGUAUUUACAUAUGUAAAAAUAUUUUGAAUGCCUACCAUAUAAUAACAAUUCAAUAAAUUUUACACACACAGCAUUUUCCAUAGAAGCUCACAGAAUUAAUGAAACUCUGCUUAAGAAACCUACAUUAGAAAUCAUUCAAGCAGCAUAUAUUAUUGCAACCAUCACUAUGGGAUAUUUAAGUGGCAUUCAUGUAUUGGUAUAGAAUAGAAACUUUUUAAUAUCAAAUUAAAUAUUGUGAUUUGGUUCACAUUUUUGAGAUGCUGCGGAAUAUAAGUCAAUGAAAUUAAUGUAAAGUUUUCCCAAUUCAGCAAAACUAGUUUAAUAAUCUGAUGACCACAGUGCACAUUUUUAUUUUUCUUAUUUAUUUAAUCUUUUUUUUUCUUUGGGACGGUGUCACCCA